Molecule: transfer RNA, 77 nt
Filed under: Candidatus Zophobacter franzmannii
Lineage: Bacteria; Pseudomonadati; Candidatus Cloacimonadota; Cloacimonadia (SeqCode); Cloacimonadales (SeqCode)
Description: tRNA-Arg
Rfam family: tRNA
About the family: Transfer RNA (tRNA) molecules are approximately 80 nucleotides in length. Their secondary structure includes four short double-helical elements and three loops (D, anti-codon, and T loops). Further hydrogen bonds mediate the characteristic L-shaped molecular structure. tRNAs have two regions of fundamental functional importance: the anti-codon, which is responsible for specific mRNA codon recognition, and the 3' end, to which the tRNAs corresponding amino acid is attached (by aminoacyl-tRNA synthetases). tRNAs cope with the degeneracy of the genetic code in two manners: having more than one tRNA (with a specific anti-codon) for a particular amino acid; and 'wobble' base-pairing, i.e. permitting non-standard base-pairing at the 3rd anti-codon position.
Source: RNAcentral
GCGCCAGUAGCUCAGCUGGAUAGAGCAACGCCCUUCUAAGGCGUGGGUCAGGGGUUCGAAUCCCAUCUGGCGUGCCA